AACGACACUGUAACUAUCCGCACUAGAAAGUUCAUGACCAACCGACUCCUUCAGAGGAAACAAAUGGUCAUUGAUGUCCUUCACCCCGGGAAGGCAACAGUGCCUAAGACAGAAAUUCGGGAAAAACUAGCCAAAAUGUACAAGACCACACCGGAUGUCAUCUUUGUAUUUGGAUUCAGAACUCAUUUUGGUGGUGGCAAGACAACUGGCUUUGGCAUGAUUUAUGAUUCCCUGGAUUAUGCAAAGAAAAAUGAACCCAAACAUAGACUUGCAAGACAUGGCCUGUAUGAGAAGAAAAAGACCUCAAGAAAGCAACGAAAGGAACGCAAGAACAGAAUGAAGAAAGUCAGGGGGACUGCAAAGGCCAAUGUUGGUGCUGGCAAAAAGGCCCCCUUGGAGCGGGGAAGGAGAGCUCUUCAGUUCCUUUGGCACCUUCACGCAGCAUGCAAGACGGGCUGCUUUUUCUUCUGUUUAUGGAUGAGGCACAGAGAGGGUAGAUGACUUGCCCCAAGUCCUUCAACUCAUUCAUGCUGGGGAAAGGAGUGAGCUUCAGGCGUCUUCCCCUGGAGUUCACGCCACUUCUGACAGCAAGUGAGCCGUUUGCUACUCAAGUGCUGUUUCUUGCAUUUUUAAGAUGAGGGAAUUGGGGCUUGGAGUGCAAGCAUUGGGAAGAAUUUCCCAGGAAGAGAGAUGCACAGAUGUGAAGAACUCGAAGGCAAGAGAAAGCCGGGGGGUUGUGUGGCAGGUAGAAGUGCCAGGACCAUGGAGCGUGUGGACAUG
This 780-nucleotide small RNA is filed under the name Pan troglodytes (chimpanzee). RNAcentral describes it as "processed transcript". Lineage: Eukaryota; Metazoa; Chordata; Mammalia; Primates; Hominidae. The record is from RNAcentral.